RNAcentral lists this ribosomal RNA (497 nucleotides) under uncultured bacterium. RNAcentral describes it as "partial 16S ribosomal RNA". It matches the Rfam family "Bacterial small subunit ribosomal RNA", at positions 28 to 507 of the family's 1533-position model. The record is from RNAcentral.
GAUGAACGCUGGCGGCGUGCCUAAUACAUGCAAGUCGAGCGAACAGACGAGGAGCUUGCUCCUCUGACGUUAGCGGCGGACGGGUGAGUAACACGUGGAUAACCUACCUAUAAGACUGGGAUAACUUCGGGAAACCGGCGCUAAUACCGGAUAAUAUAUUGAACCGCAUGGUUCAAUAGUGAAAGACGGUUUUGCUGUCACUUAUAGAUGGAUCCGCGCCGCAUUAGCUAGUUGGUAAGGUCACGGCUUACCAAGGCAACGAUGCGUAGACGACCGGAGAGGGUGAUAGGCCACACGGGAACUGGGACACGGUCCAGACUCCUACGGGAGGGCGCAGUAGGGUAUCUUCCGCAAUGGGCGAAAGCCUGACGGAGCAACGGCGCGUGAGUGAUGAAGGUCUUCGGAUCGUAAAACUCUGUUAUUAGGGAAGAACAAAUGUGUAAGUAACUAUGCACGUCUUGACGGUACCUAAUCAGAAAGCCACGGCUAACUACGUG